This 427-nucleotide ribosomal RNA is filed under the name uncultured bacterium. RNAcentral describes it as "bacterial SSU rRNA". It matches the Rfam family "Bacterial small subunit ribosomal RNA", at positions 355 to 774 of the family's 1533-position model. The record is from RNAcentral.
UGGGGAAUUUUGGACAAUGGACGCAAGUCUGAUCCAGCCAUGCCGCGUGCGGGAAGAAGGCCUUCGGGUUGUAAACCGCUUUUGUCAGGGAAGAAACGAGUUUCUCUAAUACAGAGACUUAAUGACGGUACCUGAAGAAUAAGCACCGGCUAACUACGUGCCAGCAGCCGCGGUAAUACGUAGGGUGCAAGCGUUAAUCGGAAUUACUGGGCGUAAAGCGUGCGCAGGCGGUUAUAUAAGACAGAUGUGAAAUCCCCGGGCUCAACCUGGGAACUGCAUUUGUUACUGUAUAGCUAGAGUACGGCAGAGGGGGAUGGAAUUCCGCGUGUAGCAGUGAAAUGCGUAGAUAUGCGGAGGAACACCGAUGGCGAAGGCAAUCCCCUGGGCCUGUACUGACGCUCAUGCACGUAAGCGUGGGGAGCAAACA